Molecule: ribosomal RNA, 465 nt
Filed under: uncultured bacterium
Lineage: Bacteria
Description: partial 16S ribosomal RNA
Rfam family: Bacterial small subunit ribosomal RNA
Source: RNAcentral
GAUGAACGCUGGCGGCGUGCUUAACACAUGCAAGUCGAACGGAAAGGCCCAAGCUUGCUUGGGUACUCGAGUGGCGAACGGGUGAGUAACACGUGGGUGAUCUGCCCUGCACUUCGGGAUAAGCCUGGGAAACUGGGUCUAAUAUCCGAUAGGACCACAUUUUGGAUGGGGUGGUGGAAAGUUUUUCGGUGUGGGAUGGGCUCGCGGCCUAUCAGCUUGUUGGUGGGGUAAUGGCCUACCAAGGCGUCGACGGGUAGCCGGCCUGAGAGGGUGUACGGCCACAUUGGGACUGAGAUACGGCCCAGACUCCUACGGGAGGCAGCAGUGGGGAAUAUUGCACAAUGGGCGCAAGCCUGAUGCAGCGACGCCGCGUGGGGGAUGACGGCCUUCGGGUUGUAAACUCCUUUCGCUAGGGACGAAGCGCAAGUGACGGUACCUGGAGAAGAAGCACCGGCUAACUACGUG